UACGUAGGGGGCAAGCGUUGUCCGGAAUCAUUGGGCGUAAAGAGCGUGUAGGCGGUCCGGUAAGUCGGCUGUGAAAGUCCAGGGCUCAACCCUGGGAUGCCGGUCGAUACUGCCGGACUAGAGUUCGGAAGAGGCGAGUGGAAUUCCCGGUGUAGCGGUGAAAUGCGCAGAUAUCGGGAGGAACACCUAUGGCGAAGGCAGCUCGCUGGGACGUUACUGACACUGAGGCGCGAAAGCGUGGGGAGCGAACAGG
RNAcentral lists this ribosomal RNA (253 nucleotides) under uncultured bacterium. RNAcentral describes it as "partial 16S ribosomal RNA". It matches the Rfam family "Bacterial small subunit ribosomal RNA", at positions 524 to 776 of the family's 1533-position model. The record is from RNAcentral.